RNAcentral lists this unclassified non-coding RNA (255 nucleotides) under Hevea brasiliensis (rubber tree). Lineage: Eukaryota; Viridiplantae; Streptophyta; Magnoliopsida; Malpighiales; Euphorbiaceae. The record is from RNAcentral.
GGACAUUGUUUUGCUUGCUUUUGGUUGAUCUUUUAUUUGCCCAAAUAACAUUUUGGAGAUAUUAGCAUCUUUGUUGGUGGGCCACCUCUUUAGUGGUACGAAGAAGACAAUUUGAUUGGUCAUUAUUCGUGCUUUCUUAUGGGGCUUAUAGAGUGAGCCGAACAAACAACUUUUUCAUGAUUCACUUUCCUCUUUUCUUCGUUUUAUGGAGAAUGUUUUAUCUACUGCUUUUUCUUGCUGUAAAACACAGCCCCU